This 492-nucleotide ribosomal RNA is filed under the name uncultured bacterium. Its description in RNAcentral is "partial 16S ribosomal RNA". It matches the Rfam family "Bacterial small subunit ribosomal RNA", at positions 29 to 507 of the family's 1533-position model. The record is from RNAcentral.
AGUGAACGCUGGCGGUAGGCCUAACACAUGCAAGUCGAACGGCAGCACAGUAAGAGCUUGCUCUUACGGGUGGCGAGUGGCGGACGGGUGAGGAAUACAUCGGAAUCUACUUUUUCGUGGGGGAUAACGUAGGGAAACUUACGCUAAUACCGCAUACGACCUACGGGUGAAAGCAGGGGAUCUUCGCACCUUGCGCGAUUGAAUGAGCCGAUGUCGGAUUAGCUAGUUGGCGGGGUAAAGGCCCACCAAGGCGACGAUCCGUAGCUGGUCUGAGAGGAUGAUCAGCCACACUGGAACUGAGACACGGUCCAGACUCCUACGGGAGGCAGCAGUGGGGAAUAUGGGACAAUGGGCGCAAGCCUGAUCCAGCCAGACCGCGUGGGUGAAGAAGGCCUUCGGGUUGUAAAGCCCUUUUGUUGGGAAAGAAAAGCAGCAGGUUAAUACCCCGCUGUUCUGACGGUACCCAAAGAAUAAGCACCGGCUAACUUCGUG